RNAcentral lists this ribosomal RNA (110 nucleotides) under Cyclina sinensis. RNAcentral describes it as "partial 28S ribosomal RNA". It matches the Rfam family "Eukaryotic large subunit ribosomal RNA", at positions 1 to 108 of the family's 3401-position model. The record is from RNAcentral. Lineage: Eukaryota; Metazoa; Mollusca; Bivalvia; Venerida; Veneridae.
UCCGACCUCGGAUCAGACGAGACUACCCGCUGAACUUAAGCAUAUCAGUAAGCGGAGGAAAAGAAACUAACCAGGAUUCCCUCAGUAACGGCGAGUGAAGCGGGAAGAGC